RNAcentral lists this long non-coding RNA (1649 nucleotides) under Homo sapiens (human). RNAcentral describes it as "uncharacterized LOC105369908, transcript variant 4 (LOC105369908)". The record is from RNAcentral. Lineage: Eukaryota; Metazoa; Chordata; Mammalia; Primates; Hominidae.
ACAGCAAGUCAUAGAACCUCUUGGAACCCCAGUUUCCACAUCUGGAAGAAGGGGCAGAAUAGUAUCAAAAAUGCUUCACUCCCAGGAAUGUGGUGAGCAUAAAAUUAAAUAAUGAAAAAGUCAACUAUAAAGCACUAAAUAAAUAUAAGAUGGAGUCUCACUCUGUCGCCCAGGCUGGAGUGCAGUGGCACCAUCUCGGCUCACUGCAACUUCCGCCUCCCAGGUUCAAGAGAUCCUCCUGCCUCAGCCCCACUAGUAGCUGGGAUUACAGGGAAAUCUAUUAUGGGAUGGCCUGGAUAUAUCACUUUAAAAAUCCUGCUUUUAAUGAACAAAUGAGAAAAGACCAAGAAAUUGAGCUACAGUGAGGUCACACAGCCGAGAAUCACACAGUGAAGAGUUGGGAUUUGAGCCUGGAAUACUCUGACCUCAGAGUCUGGAUGCUAGUCUCUUGCUGCCUCCCCUGUGUUAUGAGGUCAUGUCUAAAUCACCUCCGUUACUGAAAAUGCUUGUGAAAGACCUAUUCUGCUGGAUAGAGCAGUCACCUUAGUCAAAUAUGAUCCAAAUGUUGCCAUUAGGUCCUACCCAACCCCAUCAAAGAUCAGAACCUGGAGGUGUGGUAACUCCCUCCAGUCCAGAAAAAAAAAAAAAAAAACAAACCCAGUAGGUCAGAGUAAGGAGCUGCUCUGAGCCAUCAGUGGGAGGGUUAAGUUAAAGAAUAGAAAGAUGUAACCUGACCCAAAACUUAGCUCUCAUUUUCAACAGGCAAGAGCUCCUUGCAGGGUGACCUUGACUCAGACCCACAAUUUCAUCUUUUUUUUUUGUUUUCUUUUUGGAAUGGCAAUAACAAUGUCUGCCCAGCAUCCACCACUUUAAGUUGGUGUUUACAAUAGAACUGACACAGCCCUUUAAGCAGGCUCUUGCGUGCAGAGUUAACUCUCCCCUUGCACACAGAGCAGAUCGUCAGGCUCCCUCCAGCCCCAGGACCUUUCUCUAACCAUAAAAAGGCAAUUGUACCUCUAAACCCCAAAUCCUUACCUAUCCCUGCUGCACCCAGCUGUGCAAGGUGAGUCCUAGGAGGUCACAUCCCACAUGAUUCCACGUUUUCUCAUCAGUAUCCUUUGCUAGUUCCAGAUAUUGCAACAUCACUACUGUUCAAGAUUAGAACUUAAGAACUUGAAAAGGUCAAGAAAGAUGUGGUGCCUUGUCUCCACAUCAAGUAAACAGUCCGUGGCAUUGGCCUCUGACAAAUGACAACAGACUCACGGGGCAGCAGUUGAGGAGCUGUGCUUACAUGAUACUUACCAUCCUGAGAAGCAUGGAUGUAUGGGGAUACCCAUACCCUGGUAACCCAACCCCAUGGGCUCAGACAGUGUUGAACACUAGAGAAUCUUCAUCAUUUGCUCAGCUGUCACCACUUCCACAGAUGCAAGAAAUGGCCGAUGGUUCUAGAGGAUGACCCCAGCCUCUCAAAUAGAAAAGGGAGUGUGUUAGAUGUCAUCCAGCCAGUCGUAUAGAAAGGUGGACUUUAAGAAACUGUGGUUAAUGUUGGAAGGAAACAUAAGGCAGCUUUUAAAGCUAUUUUCAUAGUCUUCAAAGAGAAAUAAAUGACCAGCGCCGACGGCUGCAGACAGCAGGACAGGCAGCCUGAC